Molecule: ribosomal RNA, 253 nt
Filed under: uncultured bacterium
Lineage: Bacteria
Description: partial 16S ribosomal RNA
Rfam family: Bacterial small subunit ribosomal RNA
Source: RNAcentral
UACGUAGGGGGCUAGCGUUGUCCGGAAUCAUUGGGCGUAAAGCGCGUGUAGGCGGCCCGGUAAGUCCGCUGUGAAAGUCGGGGGCUCAACCCUCGGAAGCCGGUGGAUACUGUCGGGCUCGAGUACGGAAGAGGCGAGUGGAAUUCCUGGUGUAGCGGUGAAAUGCGCAGAUAUCAGGAGGAACACCAAUUGCGAAGGCAGCUCGCUGGGACGUCACUGACGCUGAGACGCGAAAGCGUGGGGAGCAAACGGG